AGGAUGAUCAGGGGCUGGAGCACCUCCUGUAUGAAGACAGGCUGAGGAAGUUGGGGCUGUUCAGCCUGGAGAAGAGAAGGCUGCAUGGAGACCUCAUAGCAGCCUUCCAGUAUCUGAAGGGGGCCUGCAGGGAUGCUGGGGAGGGACUCUUCAUUAGGGACUGUAGUGAUAGGACAAGGGGUGAGGGGUUUAAGCUGAAACAGGGGAAAUUCAGGUUAGAUAUAAGGAAGAAAUUCUUUACUGUGAGGGUGGUGAGGCACUGGCACAGGUUGCCCAAAGAAGUGGUGAAUGCUCCAUCCCUGGUGGUUGUUCAAGGCCAGGUUGGACAGAACCUUGGGUGACAUGGUCUAGGGUGAGGUGUCCCUGCCCAUGGCAGGGGGUUGGAACUAGAUGAUCUUAAGGUCCUUUCCAAC
Long non-coding RNA from Pezoporus occidentalis (night parrot), 413 nucleotides. RefSeq lists it as uncharacterized. The transcript is spliced from 3 exons. Lineage: Eukaryota; Metazoa; Chordata; Aves; Psittaciformes; Psittacidae. The record is from RefSeq and is a predicted model, not a curated record.